Molecule: long non-coding RNA, 535 nt
Organism: Zingiber officinale
Lineage: Eukaryota; Viridiplantae; Streptophyta; Magnoliopsida; Zingiberales; Zingiberaceae
Exons: 2
Source: RefSeq, a predicted model, not a curated record
GUGGUCAAGUCCAUGUCAGCAAAAAAAUUUCUCUUGUUCCUCCCCUGUAUUUCUCCUCUUUCUUGGCGUUCUUCAUUCCUUCAGUCGCUGACUCUUCUCCUCCCCUGCCCUAUCGCUCCUCCUCCUUCUUCACGCUCUUCAUCCCUCUCUUAACGCUCCUCCAGUUAGCGAGCGCUCCACCCAUCAGUGAGCUAACCUAAUGAAGGAAUCGAAGCCCUCCAUUUAGGGCCAACCCAGCCCUAACUUAGCCACGCCUCCUUCUUCUUCUUCCCUCCUCCUUCUUCUUCUUCCCUCUCCCUUCCAAGGAAUCGAAGCCUGGAAUUUCUUUGCCCAAAUUUCUCACCCCUACCAUCCCCAAGCGCCCACAUUCUUUUGGCAAGUGAUGCUGCAAGGUUCUUGUCAACACAACGACAGUUAUAGCAAGUGAUGUUGCAGGGUUCUUAUCAACGGAAUGUGUCGGGAGGAGAGAUGGGAGAGGAAUGGAGAACGAAGAAUGAAGAACGCUGCAAAAAAAAAAAAGAAGGUGGAACCGUCA